Molecule: unclassified non-coding RNA, 244 nt
Filed under: Hevea brasiliensis (rubber tree)
Lineage: Eukaryota; Viridiplantae; Streptophyta; Magnoliopsida; Malpighiales; Euphorbiaceae
Source: RNAcentral
UUCCAUAUCUUCUUCUGAACACUGUAACCGAAUUUUCCGUCGCUGUAUUUCCUCCAUAGCGAAUCGAUUUCCUUCAGGUCAGAUUCGGAAAUGAACUGAACUUCGGAGAAGAAAACGUAUCCUCGUUUAACCGCUGCUUCUCCGGCUAAAACGAUGAGUAAACGGCGAGUUUCCUCGUCUGCUUCCUGGAAAUUUUGAGAAAUUAAGUGUUGUUCGAGAGUAUCGAAGGGGGUGGUGGUGAUGG